This 85-nucleotide transfer RNA is filed under the name Bacilli bacterium. RNAcentral describes it as "tRNA-Leu". It matches the Rfam family "tRNA". Rfam says of the family: Transfer RNA (tRNA) molecules are approximately 80 nucleotides in length. Their secondary structure includes four short double-helical elements and three loops (D, anti-codon, and T loops). Further hydrogen bonds mediate the characteristic L-shaped molecular structure. tRNAs have two regions of fundamental functional importance: the anti-codon, which is responsible for specific mRNA codon recognition, and the 3' end, to which the tRNAs corresponding amino acid is attached (by aminoacyl-tRNA synthetases). tRNAs cope with the degeneracy of the genetic code in two manners: having more than one tRNA (with a specific anti-codon) for a particular amino acid; and 'wobble' base-pairing, i.e. permitting non-standard base-pairing at the 3rd anti-codon position. Lineage: Bacteria; Bacillati; Bacillota; Bacilli. The record is from RNAcentral. RNAcentral also lists the same sequence under 1 other name.
GCCCAAGUGGUGAAAUUGGUAGACGCAAUGGACUCAAAAUCCAUCGGAGCGAUCCAUGCCGGUUCGAGUCCGGCCUUGGGCACCA